UACAGAGGGGGCAAGCGUUGUUCGGAAUUACUGGGCGUAAAGGGCGCGUAGGCGGCCUUCUAAGUCAGACGUGAAAUCCCUCGGCUCAACCGGGGAACUGCGUCUGAGACUGGAAGGCUUGAAUUCGGGAGAGGGAUGUGGAAUUCCAGGUGUAGCGGUGAAAUGCGUAGAUAUCUGGAGGAACACCGGUGGCGAAGGCGGCAUCCUGGACCGAUAUUGACGCUGAUGCGCGAAAGCCAGGGGAGCAAACGGG
RNAcentral lists this ribosomal RNA (253 nucleotides) under uncultured bacterium. RNAcentral's name for it is "partial 16S ribosomal RNA". It matches the Rfam family "Bacterial small subunit ribosomal RNA", at positions 524 to 776 of the family's 1533-position model. The record is from RNAcentral.